Molecule: ribosomal RNA, 473 nt
Filed under: uncultured bacterium
Lineage: Bacteria
Description: bacterial SSU rRNA
Rfam family: Bacterial small subunit ribosomal RNA
Source: RNAcentral
ACUCCUACGGGAGGCAGCAGUGGGGAAUAUUGCACAAUGGGCGCAAGCCUGAUGCAGCCAUGCCGCGUGUGUGAAGAAGGCCUUCGGGUUGUAAAGCACUUUCAGUCGUGAGGAAGGUGGUAGUGUUAAUAGCACUAUCAUUUGACGUUAGCGACAGAAGAAGCACCGGCUAACUCCGUGCCAGCAGCCGCGGUAAUACGGAGGGUGCGAGCGUUAAUCGGAAUUACUGGGCGUAAAGCGCAUGCAGGUGGUUUGUUAAGUCAGAUGUGAAAGCCCGGGGCUCAACCUCGGAAUAGCAUUUGAAACUGGCAGACUAGAGUACUGUAGAGGGGGGUAGAAUUUCAGGUGUAGCGGUGAAAUGCGUAGAGAUCUGAAGGAAUACCGGUGGCGAAGGCGGCCCCCUGGACAGAUACUGACACUCAGAUGCGAAAGCGUGGGGAGCAAACAGGAUUAGAUACCCUGGUAGGAUAGCG